UACGUAGGGAGCAAGCGUUGUCCGGAAUCAUUGGGCGUAAAGCGCGCGUAGGCGGCCUCGUAAGUCCGUUGUGAAAGUCAAAGGCUCAACCUUUGAAAGCCGAUGGAUACUGUGAGGCUAGAGUCCGGAAGAGGCGAGUGGAAUUCCUGGUGUAGCGGUGGAAUGCGCAGAUAUCAGGAGGAACACCAAUAGCGAAGGCAGCUCGCUGGGACGGUACUGACGCUAAGGCGCGAAAGCGUGGGGAGCGAACGAGG
This 254-nucleotide ribosomal RNA is filed under the name uncultured bacterium. Its description in RNAcentral is "partial 16S ribosomal RNA". It matches the Rfam family "Bacterial small subunit ribosomal RNA", at positions 524 to 777 of the family's 1533-position model. The record is from RNAcentral.